Molecule: ribosomal RNA, 685 nt
Filed under: uncultured bacterium
Lineage: Bacteria
Description: bacterial SSU rRNA
Rfam family: Bacterial small subunit ribosomal RNA
Source: RNAcentral
GCUUGCACCUGAUUGACGAUUUAUCACCAGUGAGUGGCGGACGGGUGAGUAACACGUAGGUAACCUGCCCCGGAGCGGGGGAUAACAUUUGGAAACAGAUGCUAAUACCGCAUAACAACGAAAGCCACAUGGCUUUUGUUUGAAAGAUGGCUUUGGCUAUCACUCUGGGAUGGACCUGCGGUGCAUUAGCUAGUUGGUAAGGUAACGGCUUACCAAGGCGAUGAUGCAUAGCCGAGUUGAGAGACUGAUCGGCCACAAUGGAACUGAGACACGGUCCAUACUCCUACGGGAGGCAGCAGUAGGGAAUCUUCCACAAUGGGCGCAAGCCUGAUGGAGCAACACCGCGUGAGUGAAGAAGGGUUUCGGCUCGUAAAGCUCUGUUGUUGGAGAAGAACGUGCGUGAGAGUAACUGUUCACGCAGUGACGGUAUCCAACCAGAAAGUCACGGCUAACUACGUGCCAGCAGCCGCGGUAAUACGUAGGUGGCAAGCGUUAUCCGGAUUUAUUGGGCGUAAAGCGAGCGCAAGCGGUUGCUUAUGUCUGAUGUGAAAGCCUUCGGCUUAACCGAAGAAGUGCAUCGGAAACCGGGCGACUUGAGUGCAGAAGAGGACAGUGGAACUCCAUGUGUAGCGGUGGAAUGCGUAGAUAUAUGGAAGAACACCAGUGGCGAAGGCGGCUGUCUGGU